AAAUAACAAUACGGGGCUUAAAGUCUUGUAAUUGGAAUGAUGGGAAUUUAAACCUCUUCCAGAGUAUCAAUUGGAGGGCAAGUCUGGUGCCAGCAGCCGCGGUAAUUCCAGCUCCAAUAGCGUAUAUUAAAAUUGUUGCAGUUAAAAAGCUCGUAGUUGAAUUUCUGCUGCAUCGCUGUGUCCCUUCGGGGUCUCUGCAUGUGGCUUAUUUCGGACGGAGUUCGCUUUGUCUGGAUGUUUACUUUGAGAAAAUUAGAGUGCUCAAAGCAGGCUUUUGCCUUGAAUAGUUUAGCAUGGAAUAAUAAAGUAGGACUUUGGUUCUAUUUUGUUGGUUUUAGGUACCAAAGUAAUGGUUAAUAGGAACAGUUGGGGGCAUUCGUAUUUA
RNAcentral lists this ribosomal RNA (385 nucleotides) under Theileria parva. Its description in RNAcentral is "SSU rRNA". It matches the Rfam family "Eukaryotic small subunit ribosomal RNA", at positions 475 to 900 of the family's 1831-position model. Lineage: Eukaryota; Apicomplexa; Aconoidasida; Piroplasmida; Theileriidae. The record is from RNAcentral.